This 762-nucleotide long non-coding RNA is filed under the name Mytilus galloprovincialis (Mediterranean mussel). The record is from RNAcentral. Lineage: Eukaryota; Metazoa; Mollusca; Bivalvia; Mytilida; Mytilidae.
UUAAAUGCACCAAAUGUAGCAGGAAAAAACAAAUAUGGAAAUGAACUUUGAGGUAUUCAUUCGGCUUAUAACGAUUUAAGGUAGAAAUGCUCAACAGAAGAGACAAACAUAUUUUUCAGUGGAAAUCCUCCUUAUCUAAACUCAAUACAAAAAGUUAAUUAGAAUGCUGUAUGAUCAAGGUAUAAUCUGAUGCUUGGGUGGAGUAAUGGGUUACUAUGCAUCUGCUUAAUUACCUGGAGUCGGUUUUACUCAAAGAUACGGCUAAGAUUAAUUAUCGCACCGCUAAAUUAUCACGUCGUUAUUGGUUUAACGCCGUCACGUGGCGACCCCCUAUGGAACCGUAGAGGGUUAGUAAAUUUUAUAGGGGGUUCAUGACGUCACGUCUACUAUUAAUGGUGACGUCAUCUAUUACUAUUGUUGUGUGUCAUUGUUUAUUUUUCAACAAACGCAACAGAAAAAGACCAGCGUGCAAUAAAUUCGUAUACGGUUAUCUACUACCACCUACGGAACUCAUCCCCUGUGGAUUUUACUAACCCUCUAUGGAUCCGUUGGGAAUCAGUAGCGAACCAUAUAACUUUUAUGGUAAGUGUAACGCGACGGUACCCUAAUUGCACCUAUUUUAUUAGUUUUUUUUUUACCUACGUUUGUUUUAUGAUAAAGAAAGAAAAAAUCCAUUCUGUGCUUAUUUUGUAGCCGUAUCUUUCUUUAUCAUAUUGGUACUACAAUUUGAUUUUAAUCCAUAUAUCAGCCAUAGAAAAAUAG